This 253-nucleotide ribosomal RNA is filed under the name uncultured prokaryote. Its description in RNAcentral is "partial 16S ribosomal RNA". It matches the Rfam family "Bacterial small subunit ribosomal RNA", at positions 525 to 777 of the family's 1533-position model. The record is from RNAcentral.
ACGUAGGGCGCAAGCGUUAUCCGGAAUUAUUGGGCGUAAAGAGCUCGUAGGCGGUUUGUCGCGUCUGCCGUGAAAGUCCGGGGCUCAACUCCGGAUCUGCGGUGGGUACGGGCAGACUAGAGUGAUGUAGGGGAGACUGGAAUUCCUGGUGUAGCGGUGAAAUGCGCAGAUAUCAGGAGGAACACCGAUGGCGAAGGCAAUCCCCUGGGCCUGCACUGACGCUCAUGCACGAAAGCGUGGGGAGCAAACAGGA